UAUACAGCGAAACUGCGAAUGGCUCAUUAUAUAAGUUAUCGUUUAUUUGAUAGUGCCUUACUACUUGGAUAACCGUGGUAAUUCUAGAGCUAAUACAUGCUAAAAACCCCGACUUCGGAAGGGGUGUAUUUAUUAGAUACAAAACCAAUGCCCUUCGGGGCUCUUUGGUGAUUCAUGAUAACUAUACGAAUCGCACGGCCUUGCGCCGGCGAUGGUUCAUUCAAAUUUCUUCCCUAUCAACUUUCGAUGUUUGGGUAUUGGCCAAACAUGGUUGCAACGGGUAACGGAGGGUUAGGGCUCGACCCCGGAGAAGGAGCCUGAGAAACGGCUACUACAUCCAAGGAAGGCAGCAGGCGCGCAAAUUACCCAAUCCCGACUCGGGGAGGUAGUGACAAUAAAUACUGAUACAGGGCCCUUUCGGGCCUUGUAAUUGGAAUCACUCCCACUUAAAUCCCUUAACGAGGAACAAUUGGAGGGCAAGUCUGGUGCCAGCAGCCGCGGUAAUUCCAGCUCCAAUAGCGUAUAU
This 526-nucleotide ribosomal RNA is filed under the name uncultured eukaryote. Its description in RNAcentral is "SSU rRNA". It matches the Rfam family "Eukaryotic small subunit ribosomal RNA", at positions 75 to 604 of the family's 1831-position model. The record is from RNAcentral.